This 322-nucleotide small nuclear RNA is filed under the name Octodon degus (degu). RNAcentral describes it as "7SK RNA (ENSODEG00000023950.1)". It matches the Rfam family "7SK RNA". From Rfam's summary of the family: 7SK was discovered as an abundant small nuclear RNA in the mid-70s but a possible function has only recently been suggested. Two independent studies have found that 7SK RNA binds the CDK9/cyclin T complex (known as elongation factor P-TEFb). P-TEFb activates transcription by phosphorylating the C-terminal domain of RNA polymerase II. The record is from RNAcentral. Lineage: Eukaryota; Metazoa; Chordata; Mammalia; Rodentia; Octodontidae.
GAAUGUGAGGACAACCUGGCUGUGACAUCUGUCACCCCACUGGUCCCUAGGGUGGAUUCAGCUGAUCUGGCUGGCUACGUUGGUGUCUUCUUCUUCCCUCCAUUCUCCAUGUAUCUCCCUUCCCAAGUGUGCUCAGUCGGAGGACGACCACCCCCGAUAGAGGAAGACUUUGCCUCUGUCAAGGGUAUAAAAGUAGCUCCGCUCCCCUGCUAGGCCCUCCAAACAAGCUCUCACAAAAAACACACAAAUAGAAAUAACAGGAAAGAAAAUACUCACAAAAGAAGAAAGGUAACAAGUGUUUUCAAAGUUCAUAAAAGUGUUG